AUAUCAGUAAGCGGAGGAAGAGAAACUAACGAGGAUUCCCGUAGUAGCGGCGAGUGAAGUGGGAAGAGCUCAAAUUUGAAAUCUGGGAGUGGAUGACUCCUCGAAUUGUAGUUUAGAGACAUGGAUCAUGACGGGGACAUUGAUGCACAAGUCUUCUGGAAAGGAGUAUCGGAGAGGGUGAUAAUCCCGUUUGGGUGUUGAUGUUCUUGUUGAUGGGGAUGUGUCGAAGAGUCGAGUUGUUUGGGAAUGCAACUCAAAAGGGGUGGUAAAUUCCAUCUAAAGCUAAAUAUUGGCAAGAGACCGAUAGUGAACAAGUACUGUGAAGGAAAGAUGAAAAGGACCUUGAAAAGGGAGUGAAAUAGUGUGUGAAAUUGUUAAAAGGGAAACGAUUAGUGCCAGUAUCGAUGUACAUUGGUGAAAGCAGUCGAGUCAUUUGAUUGUGUUAGUGCUGAUGUGACGAGUCAACGAUGGUUUGUGAUUGCGUAGAUCCUUGAUGGAAAGAUGAUGCAUACGUUUGUGUACAUUUUAUAGUCCAUUGAAGGGGGACGUGAGGAUGGACUGUGGAUGAUUGUCCAUGUACUCUACAUUAUUUGAUGUUGUUUGGAGU
Molecule: ribosomal RNA, 607 nt
Filed under: uncultured fungus
Lineage: Eukaryota; Fungi
Description: eukaryotic LSU rRNA
Rfam family: Eukaryotic large subunit ribosomal RNA
Source: RNAcentral